RNAcentral lists this ribosomal RNA (1372 nucleotides) under uncultured bacterium. RNAcentral describes it as "bacterial SSU rRNA". It matches the Rfam family "Bacterial small subunit ribosomal RNA", at positions 28 to 1381 of the family's 1533-position model. The record is from RNAcentral.
GAUGAACGCUGGCGGCGUGCCUAAUACAUGCAAGUCGAGCGAACGGACGAGAAGCUUGCUUCUCUGAUGUUAGCGGCGGACGGGUGAGUAACACGUGGAUAACCUACCUAUAAGACUGGGAUAACUUCGGGAAACCGGAGCUAAUACCGAAUAAUAUUUUGAACCGCAUGGUUCAAAAGUGAAAGACGGUCUUGCUGUCACUUAUAGAUGGAUCCGCGCUGCAUUAGCUAGUUGGUAAGGUAACGGCUUACCAAGGCAACGAUGCAUAGCCGACCUGAGAGGGUGAUCGGCCACACUGGAACUGAGACACGGUCCAGACUCCUACGGGAGGCAGCAGUAGGGAAUCUUCCGCAAUGGGCGAGAGCCUGACGGAGCAACGCCGCGUGAGUGAUGAAGGUCUUCGGAUCGUAAAACUCUGUUAUUAGGGAAGAACAUAUGUGUAAGUAACUGUGCACAUCUUGACGGUACCUAAUCAGAAAGCCACGGCUAACUACGUGCCAGCAGCCGCGGUAAUACGUAGGUGGCAAGCGUUAUCCGGAAUUAUUGGGCGUAAAGCGCGCGUAGGCGGUUUUUUAAGUCUGAUGUGAAAGCCCACGGCUCAACCGUGGAGGGUCAUUGGAAACUGGAAAACUUGAGUGCAGAAGAGGAAAGUGGAAUUCCAUGUGUAGCGGUGAAAUGCGCAGAGAUAUGGAGGAACACCAGUGGCGAAGGCGACUUUCUGGUCUGUAACGGACGCUGAUGUGCGAAAGCGUGGGGAUCAAACAGGAUUAGAUACCCUGGUAGUCCACGCCGUAACCGAUGAGUGCUAAGUGUUAGGGGGUUUCCGCCCCUUAGUGCUGCAGCUAACGCAUUAAGCACUCCGCCUGGGGAGUACGACCGCAAGGUUGAAACUCAAAGGAAUUGACGGGGACCCGCACAAGCGGUGGAGCAUGUGGUUUAAUUCGAAGCAACGCGAAGAACCUUACCAAAUCUUGACAUCCUUUGACAACUCUAGAGAUAGAGCCUUCCCCUUCGGGGGACAAAGUGACAGGUGGUGCAUGGUUGUCGUCAGCUCGUGUCGUGAGAUGUUGGGUUAAGUCCCGCAACGAGCGCAACCCUUAAGCUUAGUUGCCAUCAUUAAGUUGGGCACUCUAAGUUGACUGCCGGUGACAAACCGGAGGAAGGUGGGGAUGACGUCAAAUCAUCAUGCCCCUUAUGAUUUGGGCUACACACGUGCUACAAUGGACAAUACAAAGGGCAGCGAAACCGCGAGGUCAAGCAAAUCCCAUAAAGUUGUUCUCAGUUCGGAUUGUAGUCUGCAACUCGACUACAUGAAACUGGAAUCGCUAGUAAUCGUAGAUCAGCAUGCUACGGUGAAUACGUUCCCGGGUCU